This 253-nucleotide ribosomal RNA is filed under the name uncultured bacterium. RNAcentral's name for it is "partial 16S ribosomal RNA". It matches the Rfam family "Bacterial small subunit ribosomal RNA", at positions 524 to 776 of the family's 1533-position model. The record is from RNAcentral.
UACGUAGGGGGCUAGCGUUAUCCGGAUUCACUGGGUUUAAAGGGUGCGUAGGCGGGUAAGUAAGUCCGUGGUGAAAUCUCUGAGCUUAACUCAGAAACUGCCGUGGAUACUAUUUGCCUUGAAUAUUGUGGAGGUGAGCGGAAUAUGUCAUGUAGCGGUGAAAUGCUUAGAUAUGACAUAGAACACCAAUUGCGAAGGCAGCUCACUACACAAUCAUUGACGCUGAGGCACGAAAGCGUGGGGAUCAAACAGG